Long non-coding RNA from Ricinus communis (castor bean), 1618 nucleotides. RefSeq lists it as uncharacterized. Lineage: Eukaryota; Viridiplantae; Streptophyta; Magnoliopsida; Malpighiales; Euphorbiaceae. The transcript has 3 exons. The record is from RefSeq and is a predicted model, not a curated record.
CGUGCGGGGGAGAAGAGAAAAGGAGGGCUGCGGCGUCGGAGGCCGACCGCCGGAGGCUCGAAAUGCAGGCAGCGGCGGCAACGGCUCCAACGGCAGCGAGGAGCGGCGGAAUCGCGCGAAGGGCAGCGACUUCCGGAGGCCAUUCCAGCCGUUUCCGGCGGCCUCGUCGGCUGUUUCCGGUGGCGAUCGGCUCCUCUCGGCGAGGGCUCUCUUUUGGCACCAGCGGCGACGCCUGUGGUGGUCGGAGACGGAAGAUCCGGCGAAGUGAAAUUAGGGGGGACAGCCGGCAUUUUUCAGCUUUUCCGGCGAGCUCCGGCAGAGGAUAGAUGAUCGGAGGACAUAUCCCGACUCUCCUCAGCUCAAGCUUCGCAAUGGCACUAGUUUCGUGGCGAUCGGACUUCGUUUGCAUAUCGACGGCCGAGAUCAUCCGCAAAUCGCUCCGGAUGAUCGGGGGUCGGAUCAAAAAAUCGGAAGCGGGGAUCGUCAUCAGUGCAUCGUUUUGAGUCCGAUGGUAUGUUCGGAUCAUCGAUCGGACUCCGGCGGCUGGAGGCGAGUCGACCGAGCGAUCAAGCGUCUCGAUAAUCUGUUCGUUCGGCUCGCUCCAACCGAGGCACCGGAGCAGAGCUAGGAGGUUGCCAAAGCUCAAUGGCUAUUGAAGAAUCUUCUGGUCUAACUUUCAAGAAUGAUGAUCAAAGCAGUGGGUAUUACAUUCAUCCAAAUGAAAAUCCUUCUUUGAUGUUAACUUCUUCACAAUUGAAUGGAAGGAAUUAUCAUAGUUGGGCAAGAUCUAUGAAGAUGUCUUUAAUUUCGAAGAAUAAGUUUCAGUUCAUUGAUGGUUCCAUUAAAGUUCCCAAAGAUGAUGAUCCUUUUUAUAGUGCUUGGACAAAAUACAAUAAUCUUGUAUUGUCAUGGCUGCAAAGAGCUCUUAAUGUAGAAAUUGGACAAAGUGUGAUGUGGUUAGAUUAUGCAUAUGAUUUAUGGGCAGACUUACAUGAUUGUUUUUCUCAAGGUGAUCUCAUUAGAAUCUCAGAUCUUCAAUAAGAAUCUUUUUCUCUACAGCAAGGUACUCUUUCUGUUACAGCAUAUCAUACACAGUUGAAGAUUUUAUGGGAUGAGAUAUGCAAUUUAAGGCCUUUGCCUGCUUGUGAUUGUGUUGUUUUUAAAUACAGAAAAUAAGAUUUCAUUCUGAAAUUUCUAAAAGGUAUUAAUGAGAAUUUCUCUGUUCAAAAAUCUUAAGUUCUUAUGAUGAAGCCUAUGCCUCCUGUCAAUAAAAUCUUUUCUAUUCUUAUACAACAUGAGAGAACUUUGAAUGGUAAUGUUUUUAUUCCUGAUUCUAAUAUCUUGUUUGCUGGGAAGUUUAAUGCAAAUUCUGGACAUAGGUCUAUUAGAUCAAAUUUUGGUUUUAAUCAAAGUAGAGGUAAUGUGAUGAAUGGUUUUAAGCCUCAUCCUAUGAAUCAACAGUUUGUUUCUGGUCCAAGAAAGUUCUUUGCAAAUCCAAAUUCUGGCAAACUUUCAAGCAAUGGAAAUAAGCCUACCUGUACAAAUUGUGGAAUAUAUGGUCAAUCUGUGGACAAAUGUUAUAGACUUCGUGGAUUUCCACUAGUAUAUAAGAAUACAA